GGUUAAGCGACUAAGCGUACACGGUGGAUGCCCUGGCAGUCAGAGGCGAUGAAGGACGUGCUAAUCUGCGAAAAGCGUCGGUAAGGUGAUAUGAACCGUUAUAGCCGGCGAUGUCCGAAUGGGGAAACCCAGUGCAAUUCGUUGCACUAUCGUUAACUGAAUACAUAGGUUAACGAGGCGAACCGGGGGAACUGAAACAUCUAAGUACCCCGAGGAAAAGAAAUCAACCGAGAUUCCCCCAGUAGCGGCGAGCGAACGGGGAGCAGCCCGGAGUCUGAAUCAGCUUGUGUGUUAGUGG
RNAcentral lists this ribosomal RNA (298 nucleotides) under Klebsiella oxytoca. RNAcentral describes it as "partial 23S ribosomal RNA". It matches the Rfam family "Bacterial large subunit ribosomal RNA", at positions 1 to 304 of the family's 2925-position model. The record is from RNAcentral. Lineage: Bacteria; Pseudomonadati; Pseudomonadota; Gammaproteobacteria; Enterobacterales; Enterobacteriaceae.